AACGAACGCUGGCGGCAUGCCUAACACAUGCAAGUCGAACGACACCUUCGUGUCUAGUUGCGCACGGGUGCGUCACGCGUGGGAACCUGCCCUUAGGUUCCGGAUAACUCUUCUAAGGGGGGGCUAAUGUCGGGUAAUUUCUUCGGACCAAUGAUUGAUCGUCGUGGGAUAGGCCCGCGUUGGUUUCACUUGUUGGUAGGGUAUAAGCCUACGAAGGCGGCGCCCCCUAGCUGGACUGAGAGGAAGAUCAGCCACACUGCGACUGGGACCCGGCCCAGACUCUGAAGGGAGGCAGCAGUGGGGAAUAUUGGACAACGGGCGAAAGAAUGAUCCAGCAAUGCCGCGUGAGUGAUGAAGGGCUUAGGGUUGUAAAGCUCUUUUACCCGGGAUGAUCAGAACAGUCCCGGAAGAAUAAGCUCCGGCUAAUUCCUU
This 432-nucleotide ribosomal RNA is filed under the name uncultured bacterium. RNAcentral describes it as "partial 16S ribosomal RNA". It matches the Rfam family "Bacterial small subunit ribosomal RNA", at positions 29 to 506 of the family's 1533-position model. The record is from RNAcentral.